Molecule: ribosomal RNA, 135 nt
Filed under: Octodon degus (degu)
Lineage: Eukaryota; Metazoa; Chordata; Mammalia; Rodentia; Octodontidae
Source: RNAcentral
UCCAGCCAUACACCCAGAAUUCAUUUGAUCUUGUCUGAUCUCGGAAGCUAAGCAGGGUCGGGCCUUGUUACUACUUUGAUGAAAGAUUAAACUUAACCCCUAUCUCUCUUGUGCAAAAGUUAACUCAAGAUGGAU